GACGAACGCUGGCGGCGUGCUUAACACAUGCAAGUCGAGCGGUAAGGCCCUUUCGGGGGUACACGAGCGGCGAACGGGUGAGUAACACGUGGGUGACCUGCCCUCAGCUCUGGGAUAAGCCUGGGAAACCGGUCUAAUACCGGAUAUGACUCCAUGACGCAUGUUGUGGGGUGAAAGCCUUGUGCGGCUGAGGAUGGGCCCGCGGCCUAUCAGC
This 214-nucleotide ribosomal RNA is filed under the name uncultured bacterium. Its description in RNAcentral is "partial 16S ribosomal RNA". It matches the Rfam family "Bacterial small subunit ribosomal RNA", at positions 28 to 245 of the family's 1533-position model. The record is from RNAcentral.